AUACGGAAGGUCCGGGCGUUAUCCGGAUUUAUUGGGUUUAAAGGGAGCGCAGGCGGAGAUGCAAGCGUGACGUCAAAUUUCGGGGCUCAACCCCGUCUCGCGUCGCGAACUGCGUCCCUUGGUUGCGGGAAGGGGAGGCGGAACUCGGGGUGUAGCGGUGAAAUGCAUAGAUAUCACGAAGAACUCCGAUCGCGAAGGCAGCCUUCCGGCCCGUCAACGACGCUCAUGCUCGAAGGUGCGGGUAUCAAACAGGAUUAGAUACCCUGGUAGUCCGCACAGUAAACGAUGGACACCCGCGGUUUGGCCUAUAUGGCUGAGCCGCCAAGCGAAAGCGUUAAGUGUCCCACCUGGGGAGUACGCCGGCAACGGUGAAACUCAAAGGAAUUGACGGGG
Molecule: ribosomal RNA, 393 nt
Filed under: uncultured bacterium
Lineage: Bacteria
Description: partial 16S ribosomal RNA
Rfam family: Bacterial small subunit ribosomal RNA
Source: RNAcentral